UGUGUAUAUAUAUAUAUAUAGAGAGAGAGAGAGAGAGAGAGAGAGUGAGGGAGUUGAGCUAGAAUACUCUCAAAAGCACCAAAUGAGUGGUGUUUUUGAGUUUUUAACUAUUGGAUGAAGAGAUGUAGGAUUGAGAUGAUGGUGGUAGGUGAUGGUAGGUGGAAUAGUAUUUGAUCCAAAGACUAUUAAUAAUCAAGGAGUAAAUCCAAGGGUUAGAAACCUAGAAGCACAAAGGGCUUGGUGCUUCUAAAAGUAUUCUAGCUCAAUUUUAUAUAUAUAUAUAUAUAGAACUAGGCUACUAUGCUAUUAAUAGCAUAAAGUCAUUGGUUGUAAUAUACUGAAUCUGGGCCUAUUGACAAGUUCAAGGGUUGGAAUGGCUUUUGGAACUGAUCUACGACGUUUGAUAGAUUUUAGAAAGGUUUUGACAAGUUACUGAAGUGAGAAAAUAACUGGAAUUGAAAAAUUGCAUCGCAAAUGCAUUAUCAAUUGCAAUGCUUCGAAUUUGGUCAAUUGCGAAGUUCGAAUGUGGGAAAUGGUAAAUGAAAUUGCCCUACAUAUUCUAAAGGGUUUGGACAACUUUCUGGACAAGUUAGAGGGUGAUUGGAAAGUUAAAAGCAUGAAAGUGCAUUGAUCUGACGAAAUUCAGUAUUUUCUGCAUUGUAUACCGGUACAGCCAUCA
This 679-nucleotide long non-coding RNA is filed under the name Ananas comosus (pineapple). RNAcentral's name for it is "long non-coding RNA (ACOM_LNC015238)". The record is from RNAcentral. Lineage: Eukaryota; Viridiplantae; Streptophyta; Magnoliopsida; Poales; Bromeliaceae.